RNAcentral lists this unclassified non-coding RNA (1544 nucleotides) under Leishmania donovani. Its description in RNAcentral is "gene:LdHU3.34.2290(CDS-product:d-isomer_specific_ 2-hydroxyacid_dehydrogenase-_protein)". The record is from RNAcentral. Lineage: Eukaryota; Euglenozoa; Kinetoplastea; Trypanosomatida; Trypanosomatidae.
UCUGCCACACGGUUGUCUUUUCCGCUUUUCUUUUUCUUUUUCGCUGUUGUUGUUCGACCCUCUCUAUCCGUUAGCGACACCACCUCCGGCACCCCACGUGACGUUGGGUUCACACACGCCAGCAUCGGUCGAUUCCGUUAUCUGCUCAUAUAUGCCUCAAACCGGGUACACUGUUCGCGUAUAUCUUUUUAAGCUUGCGUAAUAGCACGCUUUGUUCUCUCCUAUCGCCUCACGCGGUCGCGCUCUGUACUGCGGUGGCACCCCUGCCCGUUCGGUUUAGGCUCUGCUCUCGUACUCCCUGCCCAUUCUGUGCUUCCGCUGUCGGCAGCAUGGCCCCUACCAUUUGCGUCUGCGUCGAUGAUGACCUCUGCGGUGCGGUGUGUGAUGUUCUGAAGCAGCUCGAGGGCAGGAUCUCCGCAAUCGUGUGCGGCACCGAUGUCAGCUGCUUUGCUUCUGUGAAGGCAGACAACGAUGGCAUUUUCAUGGUUGUUUCGGGGAGCUGCGCCCACGCUGUCAUCAAGGAUCUUUGCGACGACUAUGACAAGGAGGAGCGUCGCGUGAAGCUCAUCUACAGCCUAUAUGCCGGCGUCGACGCGUACAAGCUCUCGGAGCUGAAGCAGGAGCUCUCCGGCAUCCUGUUCUGCAACGCACAGGGCUGCUGCUCCAACGUUCUUGCAGAGUACGUCGUAUUCAGCAUGCUGUACUUCAAUCGCCUCCCAUGGCGCUUGGCUGCCUCGAAGAAUGAGAAGAAGUGGGACCCCUUCAGCAGCAUUGAACUCCGGCGGCAGAAGCUCGUGAUCAUCGGCUACGGCAACAUCGGCGAAGCCUGCGGCGCGAAGGCGGUGGCGCUGGGCAUGCAGGUGACCGGCAUCCGUCGCAGCGGCGACAAGAAGACGGACAAGUUUGGUGUGAUGGUGCGCGGCAAUGACGCGCUGGACGAGUCGAUCCGUGAGGCCGACUUUGUCGUUUCUGUGCUGCCUGGCACGGAGCACACGAGGCGCUUCUUCGACAAGGCGUUCUUUGCAAAGAUGAAGCCGAGCGCCGUCUUCAUCAACAUUGGCCGUGGCAUGUCGGUGUGCGAAGCUGACAUCAUCGAGGCUCUCAAAAAAGGCACUAUUCGUGCUGCUGCUCUCGAUGUGUUUGAUGUGGAGCCGCAGCCAGUCGCAUCCCUCGUAUCUGUUGUCGAUGAUGACAAUCUGUUCGUGAACUCGUUGUCCAGAGACACGGCACUCAAAUUGUGGUGUGACACACAGAUUUUCUUCUGCCGGCUCGCCGAGGGCUCUCUGAGUACUCGAAAGGUAGCCGCCUAGUAGCCGGUCGGCAAAUACGGUUAUGUAGCACAGCCUUCCUUAGCGCAACGCUCUGCGUCAAUGGCGAUGAUGGGGAGGAGUUGAAGGUUUUUGUUCACUCGCUGUGUCUUCUUUCUCUUCCCUGUUCAGGUGGUCCCUCUGCUGCUAUCCUUGCGUUGAUCACCCCCCUCCCCCGCCUUCUCUGCUACUUCUGCUCACGUUGGGCCCACCCUCUGCUGCUGUAUUUUGUUAAAG